Molecule: long non-coding RNA, 213 nt
Organism: Phascolarctos cinereus (koala)
Lineage: Eukaryota; Metazoa; Chordata; Mammalia; Diprotodontia; Phascolarctidae
Source: RefSeq, a predicted model, not a curated record
GGCGGAUGCUCAUUGUUCGAACCAGGUGCUCUGACCGCUUGCUCACUGCUGCUGGCGCUAGGCGCGACCUGAAGGUCUACUGGAUUUAGUGUUGUCCAUAAGCAUGAACACAUCCCAUGUACCAAUGCUUUACUAAUCUAAUAUAAAGGGAGUGUUGGGCAGUGGAUAGACAGCUGGCCUCAAAACUUUAAAGACCUGAUUUCAAAGUCCACC